GACGAACGCUGGCGGCGUGCCUAAUACAUGCAAGUAGAACGCUGAAGCGAGGAGCUUACUCUUCUUGGAUGAGUUGCGAACGGGUGAGUAACGCGUAGGUAACCUGCCUUGUAGCGGGGGAUAACUAUUGGAAACGAUAGCUAAUACCGCAUAACAAUGGAUGACACAUGUCAUUUAUUUGAAAGGGGCAAUUGCUCCACUACAAGAUGGACCUGCGUUGUAUUAGCUAGUAGGUGAGGUAAUGGCUCACCUAGGCGACGAUACAUAGCCGACCUGAGAGGGUGAGCGGCCACCCUGGGACUGAGACACGGCCCAGACUCCUACGGGAGGCAGCAGUAGGGAAUCUGCGGCAAUGGGGGCAACACUGACCGAGCAACGCCGCGGGAGUGAAGAAGGUUUUCGGAUCGUAAAGCUCUGUUGUAAGUCAAGAACGGGUGUGAGAGUGGAAAGUUCACACUGUGACGGUAGCUUAACAGAAAGGGACGGCUAACUACGUG
This 497-nucleotide ribosomal RNA is filed under the name uncultured bacterium. Its description in RNAcentral is "partial 16S ribosomal RNA". It matches the Rfam family "Bacterial small subunit ribosomal RNA", at positions 28 to 507 of the family's 1533-position model. The record is from RNAcentral.